This 799-nucleotide long non-coding RNA is filed under the name Ananas comosus (pineapple). RNAcentral's name for it is "long non-coding RNA (ACOM_LNC011243)". The record is from RNAcentral. Lineage: Eukaryota; Viridiplantae; Streptophyta; Magnoliopsida; Poales; Bromeliaceae.
UUUUUUCUGAGAGAUAGGCAGCACACUACCUGACUCGUUUAUUUCAUUUAGAAAUAAACUUAGCUGAAAAUAUGAAUCAACUAAAAUUCAAACUUGAGACCUUGGGUACCGAUCAUCAAAUCUUUUGCCACUUGCUCUAUGGACGGUCCGUGACUCCCACUUUUAUGAUGUAAAUAAAAUAUCAUUUACACAUUUUUUUAAAAGCAAGCGUAUACAAUUAAUAAUUAUAUAUAUAUGAUCCUUUAGCCCCCGUUUGGUUCGGGGUUAAGAAAAAGUAGCUAUUCCAGAAAUAGGGUUAAGUUCAGGGUUAAAAUGGUGUUAAAAUUUUUUUGUGUUUGGUGGAGGUUGGAGUUAGUCUAGGAUAGUGAAAAAAAGUGUUUGGUUGGAGUAGGUGGGAUAAGAAGAUAAUGAUUGAUAAAGAAGAAAAAGGUGAGAGCUCGAGAUGCGUGCGGGGUUAAAGUUGGGAGGGGGAGUGGGGUUAAUGAUUGAUAAAGAAGAAAAAGGUGAGGGCUCGGGAUGCGUGCGGGGUUAAAGUUGGGAGGGGGAGUGGGGUUAAUGAUUGAUAAAGAAGAAAAAGGUGAGGGCUCGGGAUGCGUGCGGGGUUAAAGUUGGGAGGGGGAGUGGGGUUAGUAAACCCCACUAAUCCGAUUUGGGGUGGGGUUUACUAACCCCACCCCAAAAGAGUGGUGUUUGGGUAUAAAUUGGGGGUUAAGGAAUUAUUUCACCCCUUAAUCCCCAACCAAACGGUGGCUUAAAAUAUUAUAGGUUUAUAUUCAACGGAUUAAAUUUUAAAAUCAUU